CACAACGACAGCAAACCGGAUUUAUUAAUAUUUAUUUGUGUCCUGGCAAUAUCACAAGAACCAUUACUGAUGAAUGGUGAAAGUGAAAAUCGUCAAUAUCAAAUUUGACCUCCAUUUUGUCAUCAGUAUCAACAUCUUAAAAUUUGAAAAGCUUAGAUUGAAUGGUUCAUGAGUAAAUGCAACAACGUGAAUUGAAACGCCAUUUCACAAUCUUUCAAGAACCAUAACUCCUGAACGGUAAAAGUCAAAAUCGUCAUUAUUGAACUUGACCUCUAAUUUGCCAUCAGUAACAACAUAUAAAAAUUUCAAAAGCUUUGGUUGAAUGGUUCAUGAGAAAAUGCACGGACACGACUGGAAACACCAUUUUUCAAUCUUUCAAGAACCAUAACUCCUGAACGGUAAAAGUCAAAAUCGUCAUUAUUGAACUUGACCUCUAUUUUGUCAUCAGUAACAACAUAUUAAAAUUUGGGAAGCUUUGGUAAAACAGUUCAUGCAUAAAUGCACGGACACGACUGGAAACACCAUUUUUCAAUCUUUCAAGAACCAUAACUCCUGAACGGUAAAAGUCAAAAUCGCCAUUAUUGAACUUGACCUCCAUUUUGUCAUCAGUAACAACAUAUUAAAAUUUGGGAAGCUUAGGUAGAACAGUUCAUGCGUAAAUGCACG
Molecule: long non-coding RNA, 666 nt
Filed under: Mytilus galloprovincialis (Mediterranean mussel)
Lineage: Eukaryota; Metazoa; Mollusca; Bivalvia; Mytilida; Mytilidae
Source: RNAcentral